Non-coding RNA from Equus caballus (horse), 5622 nucleotides. The record is from RefSeq and is a predicted model, not a curated record. NCBI's taxonomy places the organism in Eukaryota, Metazoa, Chordata, Mammalia, Perissodactyla, Equidae.
CCCUCACUGGUAAUAAAAGGAGGAUGUGACUUUAACGCUUUGGUAAGCAUGGGUGCUGAUCUUAGCGAAGACAGGCACUUCACGUUGAUCCCGGGGCCUGGUGGCUGGCUGGGCUGCUCUUAGAGAGCGUCAGGUUCUUGUUUGCCUUUCGAAAAACACCUGGUCCUUUACCCCUUGAUGAUUCUAAAAGCGGCAGAUGACUUACUGAGAUAAUGCUGUGUGUUCUGAUAAAAGCAGAAGAGUAAAAAUAUGAGAUGUCGUCCCCUUUCGUUUUAGCUUGCCUUCUCCCUUACACCCCCAACCAGAGGGCACUCUGGGACUUCCGGCCUGUGGAGCAGGGCUUUUCCUCAAGAAAGACGCUGUUGAAUGCUCCUGAGGGGGUCAGGUCAAAUGAGGAAUGAACAAUGUCCUCUGAUUUGUGAAAGUGGAUGUCACUGGUGAAGCUUGCUGGGGUAUUUUGGUGACAUUUGAUGGGACUAGAAGCCAGAUUGGAGCACCUUGGGAAGUGAGUGGAGGCGUCUUGGCCGUACGUGAGGGAUCGUUUUUGGCUUCUCUGGGACUACACUUUAAGAGGGCUCUGGAGCACAUUCAGAAGAAGGUAAACGAAUUCAUCAUUUUGUCAGACAAAAAAAUGGUGGAAAGAAUUAAGGACGAUUCACUUGGUAAAGAGAUGACUUGAAGGGAGCAUGACACCCAUCUUCAAAUAUUUGAGGAAUUACCCUCAUGAAAAAGGAAGAAAAGGGAUGCUAAUGGGCAGAAACUUCAGGAAGAUACAUUUCAUCUCAAUAUAAAUAAGCAACUUCUAACAAAGCCUUGGAAAGUUGUAACAGGCUGCCUUAAGGAGUAAUGGACUCCUCAGCCUUGAAGGUAGUCAAGGUGACUAAAUAUUCAUUUGAUAAAUGAUAGAUAAGUUGUAUAUAAAUGACUGAUUCAUAAGUUAUAGAGUGUAUUUAAGCGUAUGGACGAUGCCUGAUAAAAUAGGCACUCAAAUGUAUCUAUUGAAUGAAUAAAUUAAUGGAGUUGGAAACUACUAUAUCCGAGAGUGUCUGUGAUCCCAUAUAAUUCUCCAACUCUUGGGAAAUCAGAAUCAUGUUUCAGUGAGAAAGGACGGUUUCAGAUCCAGACAGGGCAUUGGCCAAGGCGGGCAGGCCAGAGUGGGGACACUGGGCUUGGGUUGGGAUGGCAUGGUGGUCAGUGGAGUAUGAAGUACGAGGGUGAGGACAGUGCUUAUAGCCAAACCAUCAGCUUCUGAUUUAUCUUGAGUCAGUCUGAGCUCUUGGUAGCAUGAUUACUAUAAGAAUAUCAGAGAAUACUCACACCUUUAUCUCCAAAGGAAAUCCCCAUCAAAGGACAGGAGACAUGGAACCUCAGGUGAACGACCACCCAGGAACUGUAGAACAUACGUUCUGGCGAGCGAAUCAGCAUUCGUAGUAAAUGAAACUAAACUUAUUAAUUCUGAUGUUUGCUUUGGAAGAAUCUUUUUCUCUUUUUUUUUUUAACGAAGAAACAAGGAGCAGAGUAUAUACUUAACAUUGGCUCUUCCACCUGUGACCCUUGACUAAAUGUAUCUUUCAGCUUCUCUCUAUGGCUCCCUUCUCAAACUCUUCUAGGGCGCUGUGGGAAUUUAUAAGUUCUGAUGUUGCUGAUUAAAAGUAGUUUUACAAAAGCCUUGUUGAUUUAGGUGUGAUGGCUACUGAGUAAAUAGCUGUUCUGAAUUGUCAAAAUAUGUUAGCACAACUUGCUGUAAUAAUAUGUUUUGAACUGCAAGGUGGGUGGGUCAACUCUCAUCACAUUAAAUGGGUUCUUUUUUCUUCCCGUGGAUUUUCUUUGACAUUAAAUUGCCAUGGUGACAGAAUACCAGCAUUGCCAAAUAUAUUUUUUCAUGGCUGGAAAAAAAUAUAAACCACAUGCAAUAAAGCAAACCAUGGAAACAGUUUAACUCCACAUAUCCAGAGCUGACAUUCAGACUGGACAAACCAGUCUAUGUGCAGGAUAUAUAUUCUUGUGGAGUUGGCUACAAUACGUGUAGAACUAUUAAGAUCAAGAGCCAAGAGAUAAAGAAUUAAGCAAAAAGGUCUUUGUGGUUUAUAAUUCUAAAAAGGAAAUAAGAACAACUCUCAAACUAGGGUGAAGAUGAAAGUAAAGAGAAAGGAUGAUAAAGGUCUUUACCACGUGUAGAAUUUACGUGGGAACUAAGGGUGAGCACCACGAAUUUGAGCCUUAUCAUCCAAAGCUGACCCCUUCUCCAGAAGCAGGAAUCAUCUGGAAGGCACACUUUGUCUAGCUGUCCUUCAUCCCUCAUUCCAGCUACUUGCUAGGAGUUAUUGCUGGCUCCUUACAAUUGCUUUAUCAGAGAAGAAUACUCAUAGAAGGUUAGGACUGAAAAGACUUGUAAGAUCACAUGGCCCAACUUCUUCAUUUUACCCAUGAGAAAAAACGAUGCUCACAAAGUUUCUGUGGUUAUCCCUGCCCACACAGGAAGCCGGUGGCAUCAACGUGGGUAACAGCUAACAACUGUUGCAACAGGGUUGUAUUUUAAGCACCUUAAAGAUACUAGGUAAUUUAAUCCUCUCAACAGGCUCAUGAAGUAGAUACUAAUAUCUUGACCAUUUUACAGAUAAGAAGAAUUUGCGUUACUUGUUCCAAGUAAAAGGCAGGAAGUAGCCAAGCAAAGACUCAAACACAGGCAUCCAUGUUGGAGAAAGUCAUGGAUUUUUAAAGAUAAAUUUAUGUUGCAAUUCUUGCAUCGGCAUUUACCUGCUAUGAGAUCUUGGGCAGUUUGCAAAACUGUCUAAGCCUCAGUCCCCCAUCUGUAAAAAAGAGUGACUGAGAUUAUGAAUGUCUCAGCAUAGUGCCUGGCACUUAGUAAAUGCUCAAUAAACAGUUGUAUUAGGAUUGUUAUCAUCAUUUUAUUAUUUUUAUAUUUCAGUCCUCUGGAGUCUAUCUAGGGCUCUCAGUUAAACUGUUUAUCUUAUCAUCAAAUAUCUUCCAAACACGUGUCUAAAUGUGAUGCUUAUAAAGCCGUGGACCACAUUUGUCAGUACUGGAGCUGCCGUUGGUUAAAAGUACACAGCCUGACCAACAAAAGUAAUUAAAAAAAAUUGUUUAGUCUUCUCUUUUCUUCUUAGUUUUUGAGUAUUGUUAAGGGUAUAUAUGUAGUUUCCAGACUUCUCAACUCGCUUCAUUCCUCUCUUAAUUCUCUACCCACACGGAAAACAGCUCCUCUCAGUGACUCCUCCUCCUGCCCCCUCCCCCACAUCCCCUAUAUAUAAAUGUGUAAUUGGAUUGUAUUGCUCAAGGCCACCUUAGGUAAAAACGUCUGUAUGUGAUCAUCACAUUUCAGAGUCUACAGUUUCCUUAAAAAUCAUGUCAUCCAAUCAUUGUUUGGGGAGGAUGUGAGUUGAGGGAUGUGGGUAGGAUUUAUGAUUUUAAGUUCUAGUCCAGAUGAUCAGCCCCAUUCCAGCAUGACUGCAUGGUUUAUCCUACAUACAGAUUUUUCACCUUUUCUCAAUAGCCAACAAUUCUGUCUCUGCCAGUUCCAUCAAGCCAACAACUGCCCAGAUUUAGAAAUGUUAGUCCAGUUAUUGAUCUAUGGGAAAUAACAACAGUAACAGUGUUCACCUGGAUGUGGAGUUCCAUAUUAUAGAAGAUUUCCAGGUAAGGUACGGUGGAUUAAAAGCAGCAAUAUUUUUCUAGUAUCAAUCAUGCUAAAGUUCGGGUGACUCAAUGUUCUUACAGAUUCUGAAUCUCAUUAAGGUUGUAACUGUGUCCAAAGUUAUUCCAAAAUACGUAAGUCUCUAUCAUGGGAGCUCUUUGCCAAGGUUGGGAUAGAAGCUGGUUUAAGAGCCUGGAAGGAGAGACAGAAGGUAUGCAUGUGCGUGAGAAGGGGAAUAAUGUUGCAAAACAUUUGGAAAGUGACUUUAAAUUUCAUGAGGAUAGGGAUAACUUAUUAUGCAGAAUUACUCUAAUAGCACAUUCAACUCUAUAAUUCCCAAUGAUGUUGACGAUUUAUUCCUUUGUGCUUCUUCUUGUAUCCAAAAGAGAUGGUUGGUAGAGCCAAUCACUCUUUAUCUCAGUUUAGAUAGAGAAAAGCACAAUAAUAUGGAAUCAACAGUAGAUCAUGGUUUUAUCUUCCAAGAUAUUAAAGCUCAAAUUCACUCAUUCAUUUAUUUCAUUUACUUAUUCAUUCAUUUAUUUAUUGAUUCAUUCAUCCAUCUAGUCAACAAAUAUUUAUUGAGCACAUACUAUGAUCCACCCAGAAGCGAUCAGGGUCUAUAGGCUGACUUAUAGCAGCCCAAGUGAGAGAAUGCUCGUUCAUUUCUAAAGAGGGAUAGUCUUUUCUCAUAAUCAGAGUUCUUGGGAAUGCCCGCUCUGAGACAACUCAAAUUUGUCAGAAGAUUGCUUGCAGAAUGUGGAAUCAAAACCAUGAUUGUUGUCUGACUUUUUGUUUCUUUCGUUAGACUAUGGAACAGUCUGGAACACGUACCUCUGCUAUAGCAGCAAUGAUUACAUUCAAUAUCCAUUCUACAAAACUUAUCACGUGAAUGUUAUGAGCCUAGCACUGUAUCAGUCUGCUGUGGGCAUGAAGAAAAUCAAAGCUGAACAGAAAUUCCAUUCGUCCAGUUCUCUCGGAGCCUGGGAAGAGGCCAAGCAGGCCAGCAGAGACGACCAGGAUGGUUGUCAACGACUUCUCCACAUUUUCUCCUGCUCCCCCACCAUCUAGAGCCUAGAGUCUCUUGCAGCGUUGGUUUUCUAGCUACACUGUCCUUCCUUUCCAUCAAGCUGUGCUGAGCACCGUCAACCACGAGAGCUAACAGCAAGGAGAAGGCAGAAUGUGUAUUUUUUUUUUAAAAAAGUCUCAAGACCUCUAGCAGCUCAGCCAUCUGAGGCCAUUUGGCCUGACCAGUGUGAACACCCAUUAUGUGACAGGAUUCUCCACAUCUUAAGAGAAGAUAUCGUUACAGGAUAGAAUCAUUUGUCUUCAUAGUCACAAGUUGAGUGAUCAAGAAAAAUUAAAAUAUUGUUGCUAAUAUUAGCCAAUUUAUUGAAAACCUUCCGUUUGUCAGGAUAAUUGUCAGGGCUUUAUAUAUAUUUAUAUAUAUAUUUUCUCAGUUCAUCUGUAUAUUUUCUAUUUAAAAAGGCAGGGAAGCAUGUAAUGUAUUUUUAAACAAUUUUCAUUCAAAAUGCUAAUGUUUUUUAACUUUGUCACUUAAAAGUGAAACACAUGAGCUGCUUGCAAUAAUAAUGCAAAUGAAGAUCCUUUCCUCAUUUUCUUUCCUCAAACUCAUUCUGUGAUAGUAAAGAAAGACUUAAGCUAAGGUUGGAGAGGUAAAACGAAAUGCUAAAAUAAAAACACCAGCUGACUGUUUCUGUCGAGUGAGAGAUCUUUCCAACUUUUCUUGGUCCCAGAGCAUCAAAGAUUGUGAUUUUAGCCACCCAUUCUUUUCCUUGCUGACUCCCGCCACCCUUGAGGACGUAAUCACGGUCCCGGUGGCAGCAGGAGUUGAAGGGGCGGGGGGAGAACAUCCUUCGAGGCCUCCACCCGCAUUCCCCGUCAGCUCGGGUUUAUCCUGUUCCGCUCACGAAGUUCUGACGUCACCCUGUCGUCUUCCUCCUCUUUCA